GGCCUAACACAUGCAAGUCGAACGGUCAGCACAGAGGAGCUUGCUCCUUGGGUGGCGAGUGGCGGACGGGUGAGGAAUACAUCGGAAUCUACUCUGUCGUGGGGGAUAACGUAGGGAAACUUACGCUAAUACCGCAUACGACCUACGGGUGAAAGCAGGGGAUCUUCGGACCUUGCGCGAUUGAAUGAGCCGAUGUCGGAUUAGCUAGUUGGCGGGGUAAAGGCCCACCAAGGCGACGAUCCGUAGCUGGUCUGAGAGGAUGAUCAGCCACACUGGAACUGAGACACGGUCCAGACUCCUACGGGAGGCAGCAGUGGGGAAUAUUGGACAAUGGGCGCAAGCCUGAUCCAGCCAUACCGCGUGGGUGAAGAAGGCCUUCGGGUUGUAAAGCCCUUUUGUUGGGAAAGAAAUCCAGCCGGCUAAUACCUGGUUGGGAUGACGGUACCCAAAGAAUAAGCACCGGCUAACUUCGUGCCAGCAGCCGCGGUAAUACGAAGGGUGCAAGCGUUACCCGGAAUUACUGGGCGUAAAGCGUGCGUAGGUGGUUAUUAAGUCCGUUGUGAAAGCCCUGGGCUCAACCUGGGAACUGCAGUGGAUACUGGAUGACUAGAGUGUGGUAGAGGGUAGCGGAAUUCCUGGUGUACAGUGAAAUGCGUAGAGAUCAGGAGGACAUCCAUGGCGAGCAGCUACCUGGACCCACACUGACACUGAGGCACAAAACGUGGGAGCAACAGGAUAGAUCCCUGGUAUUCCCCC
RNAcentral lists this ribosomal RNA (756 nucleotides) under uncultured bacterium. RNAcentral's name for it is "bacterial SSU rRNA". It matches the Rfam family "Bacterial small subunit ribosomal RNA", at positions 45 to 799 of the family's 1533-position model. The record is from RNAcentral.